ACCAAUAUGUCCCUUCCUCAAAAAUAGUUAACCAUUCAAAGCCUCAAACGGGCCUUAUCUUCUCCGCAAUCAUGGCUUCCCUAACCUCUACCGCUUUGUCCAAGAUCUCACCGUCUUCUCCAGAAAUUCUGCCCAAUACCCGUCGGUUUCCACAGCCCAUAACUCUACAACAAAUCAGACCAGUCUCUCGAAAAGUGGUCUUGUCUAAAACGGCUAUAAAAGCGACGAGUCCAAGUGCAGCCACUGGUUCCCAAUCUCCAGGACUUUACUCUGCGCAGAAAUUUGAGCUUACUGCUCAAAACGUGGACUUGGUUCUCGAGGAUGUUCGGCCUUACUUGAUUGCUGAUGGUGGAAACGUCGACGUUGUUUCCGUCGAAGACGGUAUUAUCUCUCUCAAACUCCAGGGAGCAUGUGGUAGCUGUCCUAGCUCAACAACCACCAUGAAAAUGGGGAUUGAAAGAGUACUGAAGGAAAAAUUUGGAGAUGCAGUUAAAGACAUUUGCCAAGUAUAUGAUGAAGAAGCAAGGGAAACAACUGCUGAGGCAGUGAAUGGUCAUCUCGAUAUACUGAGACCAGCAAUCAAAAACUUUGGUGGAAGUGUGGAAGUACUGUCUGUUGAGGGUGGGGAAUGCCAUGUGAAGUAUUCAGGACCCGAGUCCAUUGGGUCAGGAAUCAAAGCAGCAAUUAAGGAGAAGUUCCCAGAUAUCAUUAAUGUUGUGUUUGUUGGCUAGGUUAGGAUUUAUAUGUGACUCAUUUAAGUUAAUAUACAAAUGUACAAACUCGAGAUCAAAUUUUCAUUUAUGCUCUGGCUCAGAUACUUGUGUGUUUUCUCUUUUUCCCCCCCAAUAUUUGAUGUUAUGUAUUUAUCAUUUAGCUCCGAACAAGAGCAUAUCAAACCCAGAGCCACUGUGCUGGAACAUGAGUGUAUACUUGUUCAUGUAUUCACACGUAUAGCUUUGCUUUUUCACAAUGCUCUGUUGAUUUAGUUCAAAUUUGUGCCUUCGCUAUGAAAAACACAACUAUCAUAGCUAUUGCUUUCAUAAUCUAUAUUGUGGUCAUUCACAAACCUCUCACUUUGAGAAUAAGGUGCCCACUAUUUUAUCCUCUGCAAGCAAGAUGUAUGACAUUUCUCAAAGUUACAGAUAAGGGAUUAGUAUAAAUUCAAAGUGGUUUGAAAUUCUUCAUAUUUGUUCAAGAAUCAGACAUUCAGUACAUUAGAGAGUACAGGCUCUCUUUACUCCGAAGAGGGUUGUCCCGCUUAAUUCUCUCUCCUGAACCUGAGAGUUCUAAUUCUCUCUCCUGAAGCUGAAAGAGUCGCAAUUCCAAACAUAUUUCCUAGGCAGACUUGUCAGCAGCUUCUAUAGCUGAUCUCAGCCAGCGUGCUAAACUGAUCAGGAAUGGAGUAUAAACGAAGUAGCAAGUGAUCGUCCAAGUGACUAACCCCUGACCAAGGAUCUCAAUGUUCGCUUGUGGAUAAUACCAAAGGUGAAAGAACCUGAAAAGGUUCCCAAACAGAACAGGUCAAUAGACACCUAUAUCUUUUCCAGUUUUAUGUUGACGAUUUUCUUAGGAAAGAACUUAAAAAAGGCUUCCAUACUUCAUAAUGGGAAUUUCAGCCAAUGGACAGCCAAGGCCUACAAUGGAUGCCAGUGUGAAGCCAAGCCACGUUCUGUCCAGGGACAACCAUAUGAUUUCUGCUGCUGCAAAUAAGACGUAGGCCUCAAUAUUGUCUGCUAUUCCAGCUUUAUACAUUUCGGCGCUCAAUUCUAUGAAUAACACAAGUGCUAGUAAAGUAAAAGAUACCUUCUGCAGACUUCCUUCUGGAACCUUUGAAGAAGCUCUUUCAUCCAAGAAGAGUUGUAGCAACCCAACAGUGCAAUAAAAUAACCCAAGUAAGGGAGGAACCCAAAUGUUUGAGUGGAGAGGACCGAUGUUGAUAGACCCAUUUUGAUAGACCACAAGAUUGACCCUUGAAUGAAGUCCGUCGAUGAGGGGACCUAAAAAGAACCCAGAACAGAGAAGCGAGAGACCAACGGAUGGCCAAGUGUUUCUUAGAGUUGAUCUGGUUUGGUCUCUCAAGCUGCAAAGAGGUGUAGACACAAAACGUUUUGGAUACGAACAAGAAUUAUGGCAUUUGUGAAGAAAGCAGGGAGAGCCCCUGAAACCGAAAGCAAGGAGUCCCUGCAUCUUUUCUUCUCCAGAUUCACAUCUUCCCUUACUCCAAUGUUUUCU
Molecule: unclassified non-coding RNA, 2232 nt
Filed under: Hevea brasiliensis (rubber tree)
Lineage: Eukaryota; Viridiplantae; Streptophyta; Magnoliopsida; Malpighiales; Euphorbiaceae
Source: RNAcentral